This 497-nucleotide ribosomal RNA is filed under the name uncultured bacterium. Its description in RNAcentral is "partial 16S ribosomal RNA". It matches the Rfam family "Bacterial small subunit ribosomal RNA", at positions 28 to 507 of the family's 1533-position model. The record is from RNAcentral.
GAUGAACGCUGGCGGCGUGCCUAAUACAUGCAAGUCGAGCGAACGGACGAGAAGCUUGCUUUUCUGAUGUUAGCGGCGGACGGGUGAGUAACACGUGGAUAACCUACCUAUAAGACUGGGAUAACUUCGGGAAACCGGAGCUAAUACCGGAUAAUAUUUUGAACCGCAUGGUUCAAAAGUGAAAGACGGUCUUGCUGUCACUUAUAGAUGGAUCCGCGCUGCAUUAGCUAGUUGGUAAGGUAACGGCUUACCAAGGCAACGAUGCAUAGCCGACCUGAGAGGGUGAUCGGCCACACUGGAACUGAGACACGGUCCAGACUCCUAAGGGAGGCAGCAGUAGGGAAUCUUCCGCAAUGGGGGAAAGCCUGACGGAGCAACGCCGCGUGAGUGAUGAAGGUCUUCGGAUCGUAAAACUCUGUUAUUAGGGAAGAACAUAUGUGUAAGUAACUGUGCACAUCUUGACGGUACCUAAUCAGAAAGCCACGGCUAACUACGUG